This 253-nucleotide ribosomal RNA is filed under the name uncultured bacterium. RNAcentral's name for it is "partial 16S ribosomal RNA". It matches the Rfam family "Bacterial small subunit ribosomal RNA", at positions 524 to 776 of the family's 1533-position model. The record is from RNAcentral.
UACGAAGGGUGCAAACGUUGCUCGGAAUUAUUGGGCGUAAAGCGUACGUAGGCGGCUUAGCAAGUCGGAAGUGAAAUCCCUCGGCUCAACCAAGGAAGUGCUUUCGAAACUGCUGAGCUUGAGUACUUAAGAGGAUCGCGGAAUUCCCGGUGUAGAGGUGAAAUUCGCAGAUAUCGGGAAGAACACCCGUGGCGAAGGCGGUUCUCUGGGACGGUACUGACGCUGAGACGCGAAAGCGUGGGGAGCGAACAGG